Molecule: unclassified non-coding RNA, 21 nt
Filed under: Mus musculus (house mouse)
Lineage: Eukaryota; Metazoa; Chordata; Mammalia; Rodentia; Muridae
Description: oocyte_clustered_small_RNA10987
Source: RNAcentral
UUGCCCGGUCUACCUUACGUU